UAGACUACGACGUAGAUAGGUUGGGUGUGUAAGUGUAGUGAUACAUUGAGCUAACCAAUACUAAUUGCCCGAGAGGCUUAACCAUACAACGCUCAAG
Molecule: ribosomal RNA, 97 nt
Filed under: Pasteurella multocida
Lineage: Bacteria; Pseudomonadati; Pseudomonadota; Gammaproteobacteria; Pasteurellales; Pasteurellaceae
Description: partial 23S ribosomal RNA
Rfam family: Bacterial large subunit ribosomal RNA (bases 1-85)
Source: RNAcentral